RNAcentral lists this ribosomal RNA (1143 nucleotides) under Staphylococcus aureus. RNAcentral describes it as "bacterial SSU rRNA". It matches the Rfam family "Bacterial small subunit ribosomal RNA", at positions 1 to 1122 of the family's 1533-position model. The record is from RNAcentral. Lineage: Bacteria; Bacillati; Bacillota; Bacilli; Caryophanales; Staphylococcaceae.
UUUUAUGGAGAGUUUGAUCCUGGCUCAGGAUGAACGCUGGCGGCGUGCCUAAUACAUGCAAGUCGAGCGAACGGACGAGAAGCUUGCUUCUCUGAUGUUAGCGGCGGACGGGUGAGUAACACGUGGAUAACCUACCUAUAAGACUGGGAUAACUUCGGGAAACCGGAGCUAAUACCGGAUAAUAUUUUGAACCGCAUGGUUCAAAAGUGAAAGACGGUCUUGCUGUCACUUAUAGAUGGAUCCGCGCUGCAUUAGCUAGUUGGUAAGGUAACGGCUUACCAAGGCAACGAUGCAUAGCCGACCUGAGAGGGUGAUCGGCCACACUGGAACUGAGACACGGUCCAGACUCCUACGGGAGGCAGCAGUAGGGAAUCUUCCGCAAUGGGCGAAAGCCUGACGGAGCAACGCCGCGUGAGUGAUGAAGGUCUUCGGAUCGUAAAACUCUGUUAUUAGGGAAGAACAUAUGUGUAAGUAACUGUGCACAUCUUGACGGUACCUAAUCAGAAAGCCACGGCUAACUACGUGCCAGCAGCCGCGGUAAUACGUAGGUGGCAAGCGUUAUCCGGAAUUAUUGGGCGUAAAGCGCGCGUAGGCGGUUUUUUAAGUCUGAUGUGAAAGCCCACGGCUCAACCGUGGAGGGUCAUUGGAAACUGGAAAACUUGAGUGCAGAAGAGGAAAGUGGAAUUCCAUGUGUAGCGGUGAAAUGCGCAGAGAUAUGGAGGAACACCAGUGGCGAAGGCGACUUUCUGGUCUGUAACUGACGCUGAUGUGCGAAAGCGUGGGGAUCAAACAGGAUUAGAUACCCUGGUAGUCCACGCCGUAAACGAUGAGUGCUAAGUGUUAGGGGGUUUCCGCCCCUUAGUGCUGCAGCUAACGCAUUAAGCACUCCGCCUGGGGAGUACGACCGCAAGGUUGAAACUCAAAGGAAUUGACGGGGACCCGCACAAGCGGUGGAGCAUGUGGUUUAAUUCGAAGCAACGCGAAGAACCUUACCAAAUCUUGACAUCCUUUGACAACUCUAGAGAUAGAGCCUUCCCCUUCGGGGGACAAAGUGACAGGUGGUGCAUGGUUGUCGUCAGCUCGUGUCGUGAGAUGUUGGGUUAAGUCCCGCAACGAGCGCAACCCUUAAGCUUAGUUGCNAUC